Long non-coding RNA from Vespa mandarinia (Asian giant hornet), 411 nucleotides. NCBI's taxonomy places the organism in Eukaryota, Metazoa, Arthropoda, Insecta, Hymenoptera, Vespidae. The record is from RefSeq and is a predicted model, not a curated record.
AAAAAAAUCAACGGUAAAAAGUUGUGGCAAGAAAGAAUGAAAUUCGAUAAAAAAGGAUGAAAAAAAAAAGAAAAAAAGAAAGAGAGAAGAAAACAGACUCCUUUCUUCGAACUAAUUUUAUGUUAAAUUUUUACCUUUAAUAACAACGAACUCACAUUGAUAGCAAUUUUCAUAAGAGCCUUUGAUUGAUUUACAAAUAUACCAGGAAAGCAAUUAUUCGAAUAGUUUUCGAUUUUUCUUGAUUACGUAAGUUUUAUCAAGUUUACAUUGUUUGCCACAUGCCCUACUCGAACGUAACGUCGAACUGACUUCUACUGACUCGUUAACUUCGAAAAAAGGAAAAAAAAAGAAAAAGAGAGAAAGAGGAAGAUAGAGAGAAAGAGAGAGAGAGAGAGAGAGAGAGAGAGAGAA